AUUGAACGCUGGCGGCAGGCCUAACACAUGCAAGUCGAACGGUAACAGGAAGCAGCUUGCUGCUUCGCUGACGAGUGGCGGACGGGUGAGUAAUGUCUGUGAAGCUGCCUGAUGGAGGGGGAUAACUACUGGAAACGGUAGCUAAUACCGCAUAAUGUCGCAAGACCAAAGAGGGGGACCUUCGGGCCUCUUGCCAUCGGCUGUGCCCAGAUGGGAUUAGCUUGUUGGUGGGGUAACGGCUCACCAAGGCGACGAUCCCUAGCUGGUCUGAGAGGGUGACCGGCCAAAGUGGAAAUGAGACACGGGCCAGACUCCUAAGGGAGGCAGCAGGAGGGAAUCUUCCGCAAGGGGCGAAAGACGGACGGAGAAACGCGGCGGGAGUGAUGAAGGUCUUCGGAGCGUAAAACUCUGUGAGUAGGGAAGAACAAAGGUGUAAGUAACUAUGCACGUCUUGACGGUACCUAAUCAGAAAGCCACGGCUAACUACGUG
This 490-nucleotide ribosomal RNA is filed under the name uncultured bacterium. Its description in RNAcentral is "partial 16S ribosomal RNA". It matches the Rfam family "Bacterial small subunit ribosomal RNA", at positions 29 to 507 of the family's 1533-position model. The record is from RNAcentral.